This 497-nucleotide ribosomal RNA is filed under the name uncultured bacterium. RNAcentral describes it as "partial 16S ribosomal RNA". It matches the Rfam family "Bacterial small subunit ribosomal RNA", at positions 28 to 507 of the family's 1533-position model. The record is from RNAcentral.
GAUGAACGCUGGCGGCGUGCCUAAUACAUGCAAGUCGAGCGAACAGACGCGGAGCUUGCUCCUCUGACGUUAGCGGCGGACGGGUGAGUAACACGUGGAUAACCUACCUAUAAGACUGGGAUAACUUCGGGAAACCGGAGCUAAUACCGGAUAAUAUAUUGAACCGCAUGGUUCAAUAGUGAAAGACGGUUUUGCUGUCACUUAUAGAUGGAUCCGCGCCGCAUUAGCUAGUUGGUAAGGUAACGGCUUACCAAGGCAACGAUGCGUAGCCGACCUGAGAGGCGGAUAGGCCACAUGGGAACUGAGACGCGGUCCAGACGCCUACGGUAGGCAGCAGUAGGGAAUCGGCCGCAGUGGUCGAAAGCAUGACGGAGCAACGCCGCGUGAGAGAUGAAGGUCUUCGGAGCGUAAAACUCUGUUAUUAGGGAAGAACAAAUGUGUAAGUAACUAUGCACGUCGUGACGGUACCGAAUCAGAAAGCCACGGCUAACUACGUG